GGCUCCGUUGAAUACCACGUUAAGGUAACUUUCAGACAAGCUCUGAUCCUUCCAUGCGUUCAAUAUUUAUUUCUACUGGCUUAGCCAUUGUUGGUGUCCUUUCUUCAAAUGCACCAGGCAAUUGUUGCUCCAAAACCUAUAUGAUGCAGAAAUGUUGAGCAUAACUGAAACUUAGAAGUAAAGUCAGAAAAUAGGAGUUAUACAGCACAAUUUCAGUAUGCAGGAACUAGAAAAUAGUAGGCAAAGCAUCAGAUAUAUAAUGAAGCAUAAUUACAUCGUAACAAUCUGGAAUAACGUGUGCCCCUGGAUGUCUGCAAGUUUAUAUCCAGGCCUAAUUGCCUUUGCAUAUAUGGAUAGGUCUCUUUCAAUGUUUUAUGCACAUGCACGUAUGACAGAAUUGAAGUCAUUUUCAAUGUAUACUGAACCUAUUUAAAUGAUAACACAGUCUUCAGCAUCUGAUCCACAAUUUACCUACUUGUCAAUAUCAACUCCACUACUGACCCAAGGAGUCUUGCUUUCAUAUGGGCUAUCACCAUAUACCACACAAAUGGUAAGGGAAAUCUCUGCUGAUUUUCUGGAGAUCGUAGAACCUGCAAAAGAAGGAUACCAACUUACUCUAAGACUUGAUUUUUCUAAGAUUCCACGUGACGUAGGUAUGUGCUCCCUGCCAACAUUUUACUGAAACAUUUAUCUCCUAGUAUGAAGUAUUCCGUUUCAAAGAACCUAGCAGAGGCCAGAAUACUAACCCCAAUACCCCUCCUUUCUGUUGUCCGCUCAUAAUUUCCUUGGUCCUGUCAAAAUGUAGAUUAUACAAAAUAACAAUGCUGAUAAAGGCAAAAAGUAGAGACAUAGGGAUCAAUGUCAAAAAAGGUAAAGAAAGCUUGGGAAUUAGCUAUUUAUUAAGCAUCAAACUCAGUAAGAGAUACAGUAUAAGCCUAUGCUUAUUAAGACUAUAGCUUUAGAGAUGCAUAUUAUUUUGUCCAGACUCUCUGAAGGUAAUUACAGAAGUUUCCUCUGUCCAAGCCGUUAUACUAAGCUCUCAGUUGAAAGAAAUGCUGCGGAAUGUGAAUUCCUGGGAUACAUCUCAAGGGAUGUACAAACCAAUCAAACUUGUUUAUCACCCAAGAGAACCUUUCUAUGUCAUCAGACAGGUAAUUUCCAUUCGCAAAAUCAUUAACAUCUACCAAACAGGUUACAUAUCUUGAUUCUUUCGAUCUUAAAUCCCAGAUACCCAUGUCCAUGUUAUUGCAUGAAAGUCAUAUAUUCAUAAAUCAUGACAUUUUCCAAUUUGACUGCAGCUUUUUCUAAAUGAAUGAUAACAUGUUUGGCAGUCUCAAAAAAUAAUAGCAGUAUUCCCCAUGCGCUUCAAAGAAUAUUCAGAUGUGAUCAUCGCAACAUCCUUCUUUCAGGUUUCUGGUGGAGAAUACAAACUUUCUGUGAUUUCUAACAUAAAAUUGAACUCUUAUUGUUGUAGCUGCAAAAAAGGGGAUUCUGCUUAUUACUUAUUUGGACAGGAACUCAUGGAUGUGGGAAGUUCAGAAAAAUGGGCUAAAGUACCUCCUUGCAGCUGGUCACCAAUUCCUCCUCCAGAACUUAGAGGGGAACCUUUCGAAGAUUUGAGCACUAAUGGAGGAUUUGUCUCUUUUGGUACAUCAUAUUGUCCAAAUCUUAAACAUUAUACCACGAAUAGAGUAACUGUAAAUCACAUUUUAAUCAUCUAGCAAAUACUGUUACAGAAAGAACUCAGCUGCAUGAUUUAACUCUUUGUUUCAAUACCCAAAACAAAUAUAUUCAAAAUGUAGAUAUUCACCUCUAAUAGUUAAAAAUUGGUACCUUCAGCAAGGCUUAAUGAAAACCAUGAAAUCCAGGCUGAGGAUGCUCUUCAACAGAUUCAUGACAGUUUAUAUUAGAUCGAUUCUCUAGCCUAAGACAUAUUCACAUGAUUUUUUUCUUUUUUUUUACAGAUAUAUCAUCACGCCACAUUGAAGGUAAAAGACUGGACAAGACUGUCUGGAGUCUAUUAAAUUUCUAUGCCUAUGUGAAACAUCAUGUAAAGGUAGUAUUUCUAUCUUGCUUUCAGCUUUACCAAAACCCCCUCCAUCUCCCCUUUUCUAUCUUAUUUCCACUGGCAAAUUUUUCCAUUUUUACAUAUUUGGAAUUGUAAGAAUUGGAGCUCUGAUGUCCUCUUCUGGCAAUACUGUUCAACAGUGCACCAGAGGUUUCAUACAAAGAAGGAUGAGAAAGCGGUUGGAAAGCUUGGUUGAGGUACUAAGCUGAAACCUUGCAUCCAAUGCAUAAUCAGGGUCUGCAGUCUAUCACUAGUUACAACAAAAAAAGAAGAAAAACAUUUCUGUUCUUCGUUCUCGCAUCAAAUGUAUUGCCAUACUGAAUUAAUGACUCAAUUACUUCAAAAACAAACAGAAUCAAGUUAAAUCACCUGCAUACCUCAACAUGGAAUAACCAGUAAUGCUC
Molecule: long non-coding RNA, 2472 nt
Filed under: Theobroma cacao (cacao)
Lineage: Eukaryota; Viridiplantae; Streptophyta; Magnoliopsida; Malvales; Malvaceae
Description: long non-coding RNA (TCAC_LNC002767)
Source: RNAcentral